UAUAGCUCAAUGAUAGAGUGCUUGCCUAGCAUGUGCAAGACCCUGGGUUCAAUCCCCAGUA
Molecule: transfer RNA, 61 nt
Filed under: Ictidomys tridecemlineatus (thirteen-lined ground squirrel)
Lineage: Eukaryota; Metazoa; Chordata; Mammalia; Rodentia; Sciuridae
Description: Spermophilus tridecemlineatus (thirteen-lined ground squirrel) tRNA
Rfam family: tRNA
About the family: Transfer RNA (tRNA) molecules are approximately 80 nucleotides in length. Their secondary structure includes four short double-helical elements and three loops (D, anti-codon, and T loops). Further hydrogen bonds mediate the characteristic L-shaped molecular structure. tRNAs have two regions of fundamental functional importance: the anti-codon, which is responsible for specific mRNA codon recognition, and the 3' end, to which the tRNAs corresponding amino acid is attached (by aminoacyl-tRNA synthetases). tRNAs cope with the degeneracy of the genetic code in two manners: having more than one tRNA (with a specific anti-codon) for a particular amino acid; and 'wobble' base-pairing, i.e. permitting non-standard base-pairing at the 3rd anti-codon position.
Source: Rfam by way of RNAcentral